Molecule: transfer RNA, 75 nt
Filed under: Cardinium endosymbiont of Culicoides punctatus
Lineage: Bacteria; Pseudomonadati; Bacteroidota; Cytophagia; Cytophagales; Amoebophilaceae
Description: tRNA-Thr
Rfam family: tRNA
About the family: Transfer RNA (tRNA) molecules are approximately 80 nucleotides in length. Their secondary structure includes four short double-helical elements and three loops (D, anti-codon, and T loops).
Source: RNAcentral
GCCGGUGUAGCUCAGGGGUAGAGUACUUCCUUGGUAAGGAAGGGGUCACGGGUUCAAAUCCCGUCAUUGGCUCCA